This 368-nucleotide ribosomal RNA is filed under the name uncultured bacterium. RNAcentral describes it as "bacterial SSU rRNA". It matches the Rfam family "Bacterial small subunit ribosomal RNA", at positions 30 to 404 of the family's 1533-position model. The record is from RNAcentral.
AUUGAACGCUGGCGGCAUGCCUUACACAUGCAAGUCGAACGGCAGCACGGGAGCAAUCCUGGUGGCGAGUGGCGAACGGGUGAGUAAUAUAUCGGAACGUGCCCAGUCGUGGGGAUAACGUAGCGAAAGCUACGCUAAUACCGCAUACGAUCUAUGGAUGAAAGCGGGGGAUCGCAAGACCUCGCGCGAUUGGAGCGGCCGAUAUCAGAUUAGGUAGUUGUGAGGUAAAGGCUCACCAAGCCGACGAUCUGUAGCUGGUCUGAGAGGACGACAGCCACACUGGGACUGAGACACGGCCAGACUCCUACGGGAGGCAGCAGUGGGAAUUUGGACAAUGGGCGNAAGCCUGAUCCAGCAAUGCCGCGUGC